UACCCUACGGGAGGCAGCAGUAGGGAAUUUUCGUCAAUGGGCGCAAGCCUGAACGAGCAAUGCCGCGUGAACGAGGAAGGUCUUCGGAUCGUAAAGUUCUGUUGAAGGGGAAAAAGAGCGGAGAGAGGAAAUGGGCUCCGAUUGAUAUUACCCCUCGAGGAAGUCACGGCUAACUACGUGCCAGCAGCCGCGGUAAUACGUAGGUGGCGAGCGUUAUCCGGAAUGAUUGGGCGUAAAGGGUGCGUAGGCGGCCUGCUAAGCCUGGAGUGGAAGGCACCGGCUCAACCGGGACAUGCUCUGGGAAC
This 305-nucleotide ribosomal RNA is filed under the name uncultured bacterium. RNAcentral describes it as "bacterial SSU rRNA". It matches the Rfam family "Bacterial small subunit ribosomal RNA", at positions 334 to 633 of the family's 1533-position model. The record is from RNAcentral.